AGGGGGAGGUAGAUAGGGGGAGUAGAGAUAGGGGGAGCUUGGAAGGAGUUUGUUGGUUCUUUUGUGGCUUUUCAUGACCAGACAUGUUAUUUGGAUCUUGUGCUUGUUGGUGUGUUGACAUGUCUACUCAUGUGUGUGGUUACCUUUAAGUUAAUGCAUUUGUGCUUGUUUACCUUCUCUAUCUUGUCAUGCAUUACUUAUUUGAGAUGUGCUUUAAAUUCAAAUUCUAUAUCUCUACUUGUUGUAUUGUCAUCUAUCACCAAAAAGGGGGAGAUUGAAGCACCUAGGCAUUAUCUAGGCCCUUUCGCACUUUUAUAAGGGUGUGUUUCAGUGAUAAAUAACAACCGUUUACUCGUGACUAACCCGUGUGUUUUGAAACGAAUCUAUAGUAGUUAACAUGUCAUAAGUUUAUUGGAAUAUGGCCCCUCAAUUUGAAUUGGAAAGUGGCA
This 449-nucleotide long non-coding RNA is filed under the name Setaria viridis. Its description in RNAcentral is "long non-coding RNA (SVIR_LNC000268)". Lineage: Eukaryota; Viridiplantae; Streptophyta; Magnoliopsida; Poales; Poaceae. The record is from RNAcentral.